CCUACGGGGGGCAGCAGUGGGGAAUAUUGCACAAUGGGGGAAACCCUGAUGCAGCGACGCCGCGUGAGUGAAGAAGUAUUUCGGUAUGUAAAGCUCUAUCAGCAGGGAAGAAAAUGACGGUACCUGAUUAAGAAGCCCCGGCUAACUACGUGCCAGCAGCCGCGGUAAUACGUAGGGGGCAAGCGUUAUGCGGAUUUACUGGGUGUAAGGGGAGCGUAGACGGCAGCACAAGUCUGGAGUGAAAUGCCGGGGCUUAACCCCGGAACUGCGUUGGAAACUGUGCAGCUAGAGUGCAGGAGAGGUAAGUGGAAUUCCUAGUGUAGCGGUGAAAUGCGUAGAUAUUAGGAGGAACACCAGUGGCGAAGGCGGCUUACUGGACUGUAACUGACGUUGAGGCUCGAAAGCGUGGGGAGCAAACAGGAUUAGAUACCCUAGUAGUC
RNAcentral lists this ribosomal RNA (440 nucleotides) under uncultured bacterium. Its description in RNAcentral is "partial 16S ribosomal RNA". It matches the Rfam family "Bacterial small subunit ribosomal RNA", at positions 338 to 795 of the family's 1533-position model. The record is from RNAcentral.